This 107-nucleotide small nuclear RNA is filed under the name Choloepus hoffmanni (Hoffmann's two-fingered sloth). The record is from RNAcentral. Lineage: Eukaryota; Metazoa; Chordata; Mammalia; Pilosa; Megalonychidae.
GUGUUCGCUUCGGCAGCACAUAUACUAAAAUUGGAAGGAUACAGAGAAGAGUAGCAUACCCUCUGUGCAAGGAUGACAUGCAAAUUUGUGAAGCGUUUCAUGUUUUU